Melopsittacus undulatus (budgerigar) is the source of this 647-nucleotide long non-coding RNA. RefSeq lists it as uncharacterized. The transcript is spliced from 3 exons. The record is from RefSeq and is a predicted model, not a curated record. NCBI's taxonomy places the organism in Eukaryota, Metazoa, Chordata, Aves, Psittaciformes, Psittaculidae.
AGCUGCCCCCCCCUCCCUUCAGCACCGACACAUGACGGCAGCAGCGAGCGGCUUCCGGAGCCGCUCCGCCCCCCCCACCUCCACCACCUGCAGUACCGCCGUUCGGACACACGGUGGCAGCACACGCUCCCUUUUUCGGUGCCGCAGGGGAAAUGGGAGUUUAAGGAGUAGAAAGAGGAAAGAAGUAAGUAGUAUAAUUUAAAAGGGCCACCUCUUUGCUUCAGUCUGUUAACUCAUUUUUCCCUUCUUCUCCCUUUUAGGCACGAUGUGUCAAAGGACUUUGAAAUAAACAUAGAAGUUUACAGUUUGAGAAAAGAAGUUCUGAGCACUGAUAAAAGGAAAGAGGCAAAUAAAUCUAAGGUGAUUACUCCAAAGAGAUUAUUAACAUCCAUUACCUCUGUAAGUAUGAAUGUAAUACUGUAACAAGACAUGGUUAUGACCUCUUCCCAAGGCCAUAUUCUCACCCUGAAAAAGGCUGUGCCCAUAGCAGGCUCUUGUAUCUCUUAGAACUCUGUAACUGUCCAGCUUUCUGCAAAAUUCUUCAGCCAUCAGCUCAAGAAAUAGGUAACAUUGUGGAGACAGUGUUCUUACAGGAGAAUGGAUAUUUGGUACAUGAGCUCUGAAUAACUCCGAGGGAUACAGCAGGG